Molecule: unclassified non-coding RNA, 318 nt
Organism: Mustela putorius furo (domestic ferret)
Lineage: Eukaryota; Metazoa; Chordata; Mammalia; Carnivora; Mustelidae
Gene: 7SK
Rfam family: 7SK RNA
About the family: 7SK was discovered as an abundant small nuclear RNA in the mid-70s but a possible function has only recently been suggested.
Source: Ensembl
GGAUGUUAGGAUUAUCAGAUUGUGACAUGUCAUCCCAUUGAUUGACAAGGUUGAUUUGGCUGAUCUGACUGGCUAAGCAGGUGUCCCCUUUCUCUCUCAUUGCUCCAACUGUGCCCCUCCUGAAACUGUAGGCUCAGGUAAAGAGAACAACCCUCUCAAUAGAGCUUCACUCAAAAGUAUAUAAGUAGCUGUACUUCCUUGCUAGAACUUCCAAACAAGCACUCAAGGUCCAUCUGUAGGAGACCGUAGGGUUGUCAAGCUUCCAAGACCCCAGACUCCUCCAAAUGAGGCGCUGCAUGUGGCAGUCUGCUUUUCUUU